UGUGUAUUUCUACUCAAGGUAGUCAUGUAUUCUGCUGCUCUAUGUGCUUGCAUAUCUGGUGAGACCUAGACUCCUUAGCAAAGGCUAUAGUGCCAUUAUCUUUGCAGUAUAGUGUCACGAUAUCUGAUGGCAUGACAUCUAAUUCUGCAACUAAUUUUAGAACCAGAAUGCAUCCUACACAUCUACAGUGUACUCAGCUUCUAUUGAUCG
Molecule: long non-coding RNA, 210 nt
Filed under: Elaeis guineensis (African oil palm)
Lineage: Eukaryota; Viridiplantae; Streptophyta; Magnoliopsida; Arecales; Arecaceae
Description: long non-coding RNA (EGUI_LNC082606)
Source: RNAcentral